CUGCUGCCUCCCGUAGGAGUUUGGGCCGUGUCUCAGUCCCAAUGUGGCCGGUCACCCUCUCAGGUCGGCUACUGAUCGUUGCCUUGGUGAGCCGUUACCUCUCCAACUAGCUAAUCAGACGCGGGUCCAUCUCAUACCACCUCAGUUUUUCACACCAAACCAUGCGGUUUUGUGCGCUUAUGCGGUAUUAGCAGUCAUUUCUAACUGUUAUCCCCCUGUAUGAGGCAGGUUACCUACGCGUUACUCACCCGUCCG
This 255-nucleotide ribosomal RNA is filed under the name uncultured bacterium. Its description in RNAcentral is "partial 16S ribosomal RNA". The record is from RNAcentral.